This is an RNA transcript of Nelumbo nucifera (sacred lotus), 1153 nucleotides long. RefSeq lists it as uncharacterized. Lineage: Eukaryota; Viridiplantae; Streptophyta; Magnoliopsida; Proteales; Nelumbonaceae. The record is from RefSeq and is a predicted model, not a curated record.
AUUAGACAAGCAUGGGGCCAACAGAUUGAUCUUCAUGAGGCACGUUUUCUAGCUCUAACUGCUGCAGAGCAUUGGUUACUUUUAUCACAAUAUGACGAAUAUGCUGCGGCAAACACUGGAGCUGUUGCCUUCUUCCGCUCCAUUGCUCUCAUUUUGAUGCUAAUCCUUCUAAUUCACCAUGUUGUGAUGAUCACAAAGGGCUCUGGCUUGGUGCAGGAAGCAUCAACUUACUUAAAUGUUUCUGUUCUUCAGUUGGCUGGCUUUGUUCUACCAUGCUAUGUCAUAGCCUGCUCAUGUUACAUUAUACAUAGCAGAAAGAGGAGACAGGGAUGAUAAACCAUUGCUGAUUUCAACUCAACAACAGCCAAGCUAUUCUGUAUAUUGUAUUGUCUUGAAGUUGUAUUUAGAUCAAGAUUGCCAAGAAUUGGCCCAAAAGCAUAUGCCUGAAAGCCAGUCGAUAAAGUUGUAUUUAUCCACAAAUGGAAUCUUCUUUGUGUGUGGCACAAAAUUCUACAUACAAAUUAUGCUUCACUUUUUAAACCAUUUUUCAAAAGCGUGCCAACAUGAUUUGGAAAGGCCCAAAAACUAGUCGAUAAGUUAGUUUGUAUGUUACAACCAAAAAAAGAAAAGUUCAUGGUGUAUAUACAUACAGGAGAGAGAGUUCAGGUCUGAGACCUGUAGGGAUAUUUUUGGAUCAGUUGGAAAAGAGAAGCUUUAAACUCAGGAAUGUGUUUCUGUUAUGUCAUCUGGUUCUGCAAAUGUUCCAUGUGGAAAUCAUGACGGAUAUCCAUGACUUCAAUAUUUCAUAAUUUCUUCCUGUUUCCAUAUAUAUAUAUAUUUUUUGAAUAAGUGGGGGAGGUAGAGAGGAAAGGGGGUGGGGAUCUCCAUUUGGUUUCUAGGUCCUACAUCUGGAAUGCUUGGCAAGUCCUUUGGUAGUAUUUAUUCAACUGUGAGACUCAAUCUUGUACACUGUUCUACAAUGAAAUCCAUAGUUGUUGAAUGGACCACCCUCAUUACCGUACUAGUGACGGUAAUGAUUUAUGAAGCAUUACCAUGAUGAAUGAUUUAUGAAGCCACCACCACUUGGAUAAUUGGAUGGUAUGUAGUGCAGACUGCAGCGUUACCAUGAUGAAUGAUUUAUGAAGCAUCUGUC